UGAGGCUACUGAGAUUCAAAGAGGGUGAACAAUUCAUUAGGUCUGGCUCUGACCCGUGGGGCUGAGUCAUCAUCAGUCAGACCGCCUGAACCUGUUCCUCUCUGGGAAGCCCAUACAAACCUAAUCCCUAAACUGACAACACUGAGGGCAAGACUCUGAACUUUGGUAACCCUGCGACAGGGCUGCUAGUCCCUGCUCCUGCUCAGAGCUGCAGACUGCCUCUCCCCGGGGCAGGAGGUGAGCUAUUGCAGAAAUCCUGCUCUGCCAUGGAGCGCGAGGGCUGAGGGCUUGGGCAGAGAGGCAGACAGACUGGUUUGAAAUCCAGCCCCUGAACUUAGUAGCCGAGCAACCCUGGCUUGGGCAAGAUUUUUUUUACCGCUCUGCCCUUCAACCCUUACCCGUAAAACGAAGACAAGAACAGUCUCCUGCUUGUUGCUGUCAGGAUAACAUGAAAAAACACAGCAAGCUUUCAGCCCGUGGGAGCCUUAUUAUCACUGCUGUCAUUACCAGUCUUAAGGGGAGGUGUAUACAACAAAGUGGGUUUGAAUCCUGGUGCCAUCACUUUUUAGCCAUGUGACUUUAAGCAAGUUUACUAACCUUCUCAAUUCCUCACCUUUAAUUUAGGAAGUUUCGGGGGGGAGGGGUGGGGGAGUCCGGUGCCCUCCUCCUUAAAUUAAAAUCAGCUUCUGUGAAGGAAUUGGGAAAUGCCAGAGGUAGGGGAUGAUUCUUGUCACGUAUGGACAGCGUCUGCCCUAAGCCGUGGUCUGUCAGGAGGCAGCCAAGGACUUCUGGACCAUCUGAAUCUCAUCAGAGCGUCCAGGGUGUGGUCUCCAGAGCGCGGCUGUGGCAGCUGGUCUGAAGCUUUCGACUAGUUUGUGUGCGUUUGAGCUGAAAGAAGACUGCUGUACGCAAGGAGCGUGGUGAGGAUGGUCGGCCCGCGGGUUUGGGAAAAAAAGGCCCCAGAGAAAGGCCACGUGUGUGCACGCUGCGCUGGAAGCCCAGCCUCAGGAGCUGAGAUGGGCAGCCCGCGGCAGUUCACGUCGCCAUGGCAAUGAGGGCCCUGGGUGAGGAGAGCUCCCUGGCCUGGGCUCUAAACCUCGGGUUCUGCUUCCAUGCCCCAGGCAGCGCUCACCACCUCACAGGGAGAAAAGCUCAGAUCAUCGGCACCCCAGUCUCUCGGGAACGUGUCAGAUUCUGAGUUGAUGUUAGUUCUGAGAUGCUGACCGGUCACUGACAACACGGAGUUUCUGGGCCUGCCAGGCUGAGAACUGGAUCCUGUCACACAGCAGCCCCACCAAGUUACUGCCACCCUGAGGCCCAGACUAGCUGGCAACUGACCUGGAGGGCACUGGUCUCCCAGUCACCUUCUUUAUCUGUAAUGAUACCUCCCUCAGGAUGUGUAAAGCAUUAAAUAUCUGUGUGUGGCAUACACUUGGUGCUCAACCAUGCUGAUUUUUUCCCCCAUCUUCUGUAAACCCUGUCACCUGCCUAGGCCAAGAGAUGCGAUUACCUUAAGGCCUGGAACUCUGCCUCCUGUUGCUCUGGUUUCUCUCCUUCGCUUCCCAGUAAGUCCCUAGGACUUGACUUGCCCUCGGUAGUUGUCUUAUCCAUGCUGUGGGUUCUCACCACCCUGACCUCUGCCCACACAUCAGUCAUGCCCUCCAGGUGUCCCCUGAGCCACACAGGGCAGCCACCCAGGGGAGCACAGCAGACUGGCAAAGCAUAGCACCCAAAUUCUGGAGCUGCCACCUACUCACCGUGGGACCUGGCUCCAGCCAUUCCCAUUUCUGAGGCUCUACUUCCUCCUGUGUGAAAUAACAGCUUUGGGCUAGUCCUCACAAGCUGUACUUGCGUGAAUGAGUCAUUCCAUCCAUCCAUCCAUCCACCCAUCCACCCAUCCACCCAUCGCACAAACUCUCAGCAACUUCUCAGUGCUGCCUUAGCUACAGCGUUAAGAAGACAGAGUUGAAUGGACAUGCCCCAGGCUUCAAGCCCUUCACACCACGGUGAAGGAGACAGACCUCCACAAAAUAGGAUGUACCCUCACCAGGGACAAGCGGUGUGACAAGAUGGCGGCAGGGGGCUCCCUCUAAGCGGCGCCUGGGUCCCUUGGCGUUGUGGUGGGCGCCCAGGAGCCAGUCCCGCUGCCGGCGGCGAUGCCUCCCCUCUCGGAGCAUUACUCAGCGCCCUGAAAUGUCUGCCUCUCUGCAGCACGGCCCCCUCGUCCUCCUGGAGCGCGGCACAAAGGUCCUGUUGUGGGCCUGCAGCCCAGGCAGCAGCCGGGCCUCGGGGUGACUCACGAUCUUGCCAUUUCCUUUGUGUGGCUCCCAGGAUCCUAGCUGGAAGCCGAGUGUGCGUCUGCCGGGCUGCGCUCCAGCGUCGCCCCUCCGGGAGGAGACAGCUCCAGUCCCGCCUUUCGUGUGGCGGGGGCGGCGGGGCUCCCUGCACGCGAGGCCACCCACGCCUGGAGCCUCGCCAGGACAGCGGUUGGCGCAGGGACCAAGAUGUUGCAGCCUGGCCUCGGCGAGGAUCAAAGCACCCGCUCUGGGGGUGGCAUGUGCUCCCCAUCAGGCGUUGCUCUGCUCCCCGCCCCCUAAACGAACCCAUCUUUAGGAAAAGUGAAAAUUAACCACGGAAGGAAAGGGCCCAUAUGGCUUGGGGAGAGACGUGGGCUGCCGGCCUCCCGCUGGUCUUUGGUUCCAGCUCAGAUGCCUUGUCAGCAGCAGCAGCAGAACCUGUGUUUGAAGGCAUCUUCACAGGCUUGGCUCAGGGCUUGGGCUCCUCGCACUUGGCGGCCUGGCCAAAGCUCGGGCUGGUGUGUAGCCAGAGGCAGCAGCCCCAGGGGUGCUUAAUGAAUAGUGAAGGAGCCAGUGAGCACUGGACUAGGAGCCUGGAGAUGGGUUCUUCCGCAGGUUAACUGCAUCACCUUCAGCAAGUUUUACCCGUAGAAUUUCAGGCAUCUUUCCAAGCAGGUCCCAAGUCACAGCUCCUAAGAUCCUUCCUGGUCUGGCUCCUGCCUCCUGCUCUGGCUUUAUCUCUGCUCACGUACCCCUUACACUUUACACUCCAGCCAGGCUGAGCAACUUGUCCUCAAGGGUCUCUGAGUCAGCUGGGGUGUCACCUCCUGCAGGAAGCUUCUCCCUGGCAUCUGGCAUUGGCGCUCCUCCUCUGCACAAUUUGGAGAACUUCUGCAAAGCCCUGUCAGAGCAGCCCCACCCCAGACUCUGCGAUUCCUGCUUGCUUACAUGAGGAGGGCGCUGAAUGAGUGAGUGAAUGAAUGAAUGAAGGGCUUGAGAAAGGAAGUUGCUUCAUACACCACUGCCCUGUGGGUGGGGACUAAAACAAACCCUACAGGAAGCCUAAGAAAAUGGCUCUAAUUCUGUCCUUCCUUUGACAAUUUUUAGGCUCCUCAUGUGAAACUACAGGUGCUAUGGUGAGGCCAUUGCCCAGGACUGAGGAGGGAUCCACACAGCAAGAGAGGGUGCAGCUGGCAUCAAUCUUCGGGGUCAAAGCCAACUCACGAUUUGUAAUCAGACCCUUGAAACCAAAACCUACAUGGAUGUAAUGACGUUACAUCUUGGGCCAAGUCAGCAGACUGUCCUGAGAACAAUGCAGUAAGCAUCAAGGAUAAUCCCCACACUCCUGCAGUUCCUUAGGACUUGCAAACCUUUCACCAUCAAUAGUCUCAUUGGAUUUGAGGAGGUGGGGUGAAGAUAAUUUCUGCCCCUGUUUUAGAGAUGAGCCUACUAAGCUUGAGGGAAAUUGAGUCUUGCCUAAUAUCCCAUAAAGAGUAAGUGGGAAGAAAGAAUCCAGGUCUUCCUUCAACCAAUCCUCAAAGGCUGGUGAGUGUCAAGCACCACAAAGAUGAGGGAGAUGUGGUUCUUGCCACCAGGGAGCAGCCAGGAUUGUCAGUGAGACCCAAUAGAGCCCAAGAAGUGUUACUUUCAUGAGAGGAACAGGGGCCUACUGGAGUCCAGAGGACAGAGAGGUUUGUUCUGACUGUGAAGUCAGGGAAGGCUUCCUAGAAGAGGAGACUUUUAAAUGGGGCUUUGAAUGGUGGGUAAGAGUCUCCCCAAGGAUGUA
This 4083-nucleotide long non-coding RNA is filed under the name Equus caballus (horse). RNAcentral describes it as "lncRNA (ENSECAG00000051478.1)". Lineage: Eukaryota; Metazoa; Chordata; Mammalia; Perissodactyla; Equidae. The record is from RNAcentral.